Molecule: transfer RNA, 72 nt
Filed under: Daphnia pulicaria
Lineage: Eukaryota; Metazoa; Arthropoda; Branchiopoda; Diplostraca; Daphniidae
Description: tRNA-Ala
Rfam family: tRNA
About the family: Transfer RNA (tRNA) molecules are approximately 80 nucleotides in length. Their secondary structure includes four short double-helical elements and three loops (D, anti-codon, and T loops).
Source: RNAcentral
GGGGUUGUAACUCAGUGGUAGAGUGUUUGCUUUGCAUGCGAAAAGUCCGGAGUUCAAUCCUCCGCAGCUCCA